CUGCAAGUCGAGCGAACAGAUAAGGAGCUUGCUCCUUUGACGUUAGCGGCGGACGGGUGAGUAACACGUGGAUAACCUACCUAUAAGACUGGGAUAACUUCGGGAAACCGGAGCUAAUACCGGAUAACAUAUUGAACCGCAUGGUUCAAUAGUGAAAGGCGGCUUUGCUGUCACUUAUAGAUGGAUCCGCGCCGUAUUAGCUAGUUGGUAAGGUAACGGCUUACCAAGGCAACGAUACGUAGCCGACCUGAGAGGGUGAUCGGCCACACUGGAACUGAGACACGGUCCAGACUCCUACGGGAGGCAGCAGUAGGGAAUCUUCCGCAAUGGGCGAAAGCCUGACGGAGCAACGCCGCGUGAGUGAUGAAGGUCUUCGGAUCGUAAAACUCUGUUAUCAGGGAAGAACAAAUGUGUAAGUAACUGUGCACAUCUUGACGGUACCUGAUCAGAAAGCCACGGCUAACUACGUGCCAGCAGCCGCGGUAAUACGUAGGUGGCAAGCGUUAUCCGGAAUUAUUGGGCGUAAAGCGCGCGUAGGCGGUUUUUUAAGUCUGAUGUGAAAGCCCACGGCUCAACCGUGGAGGGUCAUUGGAAACUGGAAAACUUGAGUGCAGAAGAGGAAAGUGGAAUUCCAUGUGUAGCGGUGAAAUGCGCAGAGAUAUGGAGGAACACCAGUGGCGAAGGCGACUUUCUGGUCUGUAACUGACGCUGAUGUGCGAAAGCGUGGGGAUCAAACAGGAUUAGAUACCCUGGUAGUCCACGCCGUAAACGAUG
Molecule: ribosomal RNA, 774 nt
Filed under: uncultured Staphylococcus sp.
Lineage: Bacteria; Bacillati; Bacillota; Bacilli; Caryophanales; Staphylococcaceae
Description: bacterial SSU rRNA
Rfam family: Bacterial small subunit ribosomal RNA
Source: RNAcentral